CAUAAAUACUGUAUUGUCUAAAAUGACUUAUCUUAGCAGCAACUUGGGCUCAGAUUGAUCGUACAGUUCAUCAACUUCUCAGCAUGCUGGAUAAUGAAUGUUUCAUUUACAUUGCUAAUUGACAAGCCAUGGUUCCUCCAACCUUUAACCCUUAAGAUUUAUCACAGUAUCACCAUAUGUCAAUAUAAUUGCAUUUAACUUCCUCGAUUAAAAAACAAACAAAACAAAAGCUUUGCUAGUUGCAGAAGAACAU
RNAcentral lists this small RNA (253 nucleotides) under Salvator merianae (Argentine black and white tegu). Its description in RNAcentral is "sRNA (ENSSMRG00000018984.1)". Lineage: Eukaryota; Metazoa; Chordata; Lepidosauria; Squamata; Teiidae. The record is from RNAcentral.